Molecule: ribosomal RNA, 497 nt
Filed under: uncultured bacterium
Lineage: Bacteria
Description: partial 16S ribosomal RNA
Rfam family: Bacterial small subunit ribosomal RNA
Source: RNAcentral
GACGAACGCUGGCGGCGUGCCUAAUACAUGCAAGUUGAGCGCUGAAGGUUGGUACUUGUACCAACUGGAUGAGCAGCGAACGGGUGAGUAACGCGUGGGGAAUCUGCCUUUGAGCGGGGGACAACAUUUGGAAACGAAUGCUAAUACCGCAUAAAAACUUUAAACACAAGUUUUAAGUUUGAAAGAUGCAAUUGCAUCACUCAAAGAUGAUCCCGCGUUGUAUUAGCUAGUUGGUGAGGUAAAGGCUCACCAAGGCGAUGAUACAUAGCCGACCUGAGAGGGUGAUCGGCCACAUUGGGACUGUGACACGGCCCAAACUCAUACGGGAGGCAGCAGCAGGGAAUCUUCGGCAAUGGACGGAAGUCUGACCGCGCAACGCCGCGGGAGUGAAGAAGGUUUUCGGAUCGUAAAACUCUGUUGGUAGAGAAGAACGUUGGUGAGAGUGGAAAGCUCAUCAAGUGACGGUAACUACCCAGAAAGGGACGGCUAACUACGUG